UACAGAGGGUGCAAGCGUUGUUCGGAAUUACUGGGCGUAAAGGGCGCGUAGGCGGCGUGACAAGUCACUUGUGAAAUCUCCGGGCUUAACCCGGAGCGGUCAAGUGAUACUGUCGUGCUAGAGUGCGGAAGGGGCUACUGGAAUUCUCGGUGUAGCGGUGAAAUGCGUAGAUAUCGAGAGGAACACCUGCGGCGAAGGCGGGUAGCUGGGCCGACACUGACGCUGAUGCGCGAAAGCCAGGGGAGCGAACGGG
RNAcentral lists this ribosomal RNA (253 nucleotides) under uncultured bacterium. Its description in RNAcentral is "partial 16S ribosomal RNA". It matches the Rfam family "Bacterial small subunit ribosomal RNA", at positions 524 to 776 of the family's 1533-position model. The record is from RNAcentral.